GACAGAGGUGCCAAGCGUUAGGCGGAAUCACUGGGCUUAAAGCGUGUGUAGGUGGAAGCGUAAGUACCUUGUGAAAUCCCACGGCUUAACCGUGGAACUGCUUGGUAUACUGCGUUUCUUGAGCCAACUAGGGGCUAUCGGAACAAGUGGUGUAGCGGUGAAAUGCGUAGAUAUCGGAAGGAACAUCAGUGGCGAAGGCGACUUCCUGGACCAAUACUGACGCUCAGGUGCGAAAGCGUGGGGAGCAAACAGG
This 253-nucleotide ribosomal RNA is filed under the name uncultured bacterium. Its description in RNAcentral is "partial 16S ribosomal RNA". It matches the Rfam family "Bacterial small subunit ribosomal RNA", at positions 524 to 776 of the family's 1533-position model. The record is from RNAcentral.